AUUGAACGCUGGCGGAAGGCUUUACACAUGAAAGUCGAACGGCAGCACGGACUUCGGUCUGGUGGCGAGUGGCGAACGGGUGAGUCAUGUAUCGCAAAGUGCCCAGCCGCGGGGGAUAACGUAGUGAAAAUUACGCUAAUACCGCAUACGAUGUAUGGAUGAAAGCGGGGGAUAGCAAGAACUUGCGCGAUUGGAGCGGACGAUAUCAGAGUAGGUAGUUGGUGUGGUAAAGGCCCACCAAGCCAACGAGCUGUAGCUGGUCUGAGAGGACGAACAGCCACAGUGGAACUGAGACACGGUCCAGACUCCUUCGGGAGGCAGCAGUGGGGAAUUUUGGACAAUGGGCGAGAGCCUGAUCCAGCCAUUCCGCGUGCAGGAUGAAGGCCCUCGGGUUGUAAACUGCUUUUGUACAGAACGAUAAGGUUUCUACUAAUACUAGGAGCUCAUGACGGUACUGUAAGAAUAAGCACCGGCUAACCACCCGCCAGCCGCCGCGGUAA
Molecule: ribosomal RNA, 500 nt
Filed under: uncultured bacterium
Lineage: Bacteria
Description: partial 16S ribosomal RNA
Rfam family: Bacterial small subunit ribosomal RNA
Source: RNAcentral